Molecule: long non-coding RNA, 3816 nt
Organism: Parus major (Great Tit)
Lineage: Eukaryota; Metazoa; Chordata; Aves; Passeriformes; Paridae
Exons: 2
Source: RefSeq, a predicted model, not a curated record
CCCGGGCCGGCCGCCGGCUCCCGGCGCUCCCGCGGCGCUUGCUGCGGCCGCCCUGCAGCCCGGGUAGGGCAUUCCCGCGAGCCGCCCCGGGCCGGAACGCUGGCAGCAUCCGCUGCGCUGGGUUCAUACUCCUCCCAGAAAAUCGCACAAUCACAGAAUGGUUUGGGUCGGAAGGGGACCUUGAAGAUCAUCCAGUUUCAACCCACCCUGCCGUGUACAGGCACAUCUCCGACUAAACCCGCUCGCUCAAAGAUGCGGCCUGGCCUUGACCACUUCCAGAGAUGAGACAUCCACAACUUCUCUGGACAACCAGUUUCAGCUCCUUCUCACCCUCACAGUACUGGAAGGCUGCAAUUGGGUCACCCCGAAGCCUUCUCUUUCGCAGGCUGAAAUGAACACAAGCUGUUUGCCAUAAGAGAGAGAGACAUUUUACUGGACCAGGUAAAGGGAAUGGUUAAUGAAUUGAUUUAAUCCAGGUCACCCACUCUCAGCACGUGCUUUAGCCAAACUGCUUUUAUCUCAUACAAAGUAAAUGGAUAAAUACAGUUAGACAAAUAUUUGCCCUCGGCACACAGCAACGAGUCUUUGAAACAGUCAUAACAAGUGUCAGGCUCAGAGGGUUCUUUGGUUUCUUCGGGACUGUCUCUGAGCAUGCUUUACACAGCUGCCUUGUCACAUUAAGUGUGAACAACCAACACUGCCAAAAUACCUGUGGUAGCUCCACAUGCAAGAUGCAGCUCUGCCUUUUUAAACUUAAGACAGUUUUGUCACAUGCCUUAGUGACAGCAGUUCCUAUUUUUUAGUCUUCUCAGAAUUUGUGUUGACAAUAUCCCAGUCUGCACAAGCAGCUGCUUCAUUUUUGCUACACCUGGAAACAAAACCAAUCUUGGCUUUCCCUUGCAGUAUACCCAUAACAAAGCCACUCCUCAUCACGUUACCUGCUGUGUUAUAUCUCAUUAAAAAUGGUCCUUCACUGUCACAAAAAUUAAAUUUCUACACCACUCAAAGCACAUGCACAAAUGUUAGGCCUAUUUUAUUCUUUAAGGCAACAUUCCAUUCCCUGAUAUAAAACUAAUCUAGCAUUCUUGACAUGAACUUUCCACUUACAAAAUAGUGUUAUAUGUGUGUGUAUAUAAAAUAUACAUGUAUAUGUAAAAUAUAUGUAUAUAUAAAAUAAAUACUUUAAGAUAAAAAAGCUGCUAAGCAAUUUACAGUCAUUACCUAAGUAAUUACAUGUAGGACACUGGCUUUUCUGUGUUUUACCAAAAGAUAGCAAGUGAAGUCUUUGAAAAAGUUAACAGCUGGUGAAAAUGGUUUCUCAAAUGGAUUAAAAAAUUAAAACCUAUACCACCUAAACCAUACAGUACAAAUAGAAGCAUCUAAGUACUGAUUGCUAGGUUCAAAGUUUAAAGGAGCUAAAGAACUUAAUGUGGUUGUGAUCAUGAUAAAUGCUGAUAAAGUGUAUGUGUACAUAUUCCUGAGCUAAGAGCAAUGUCUGAAGCAAGUCAAUUUAAGUCUUCCCUUUCUACUCUUGUCUCUCUCUGCUCUCCUCCCUUCAAAAACACCUCUGAACCAAGCUAAAACAAUAAUGAAUAAAUACCUGAAAAUAUUAACUGGACUCCUCUAAGCAUUUGUGUAACUUCAGUUGUUCUGUUAAUCCCCUCGCUUAUGUUUUUUUUCAGUUGCUAGUUCUGCUUAACAUACGUACAUCUGUUCAAAGUACAAAUUCAAGUGCUUUCAAUUUGGCACACAAUUUGGCAAUUAAGUGUUUAUUUCUAAGCCAAGGGUUGUGCUCAGUAACGGAAAAUACUCAAACUAUCUCAGAGAAAUUUACAGCACAGUAUUCCUGGCAUGUUUGCUGAGUAUUUGGCAGGAACUCCAAGCAUGAGAAUGGUGGUAACCUGCCUAAUUUAACCUGUUCUCAUAGGGCAAUUCAGGUGCACAAACCAUCCUUGUGCCCAAUGAAUUUCAUGAGAGUGGUCAAUAUAGGUUCUUUUGCAUGGCUAUGGACAGGAUUUUUUAGGGCAUCUACUAUGUGUAUAAACAUCUUGUAAAGUUUAAAGGGGCAAAGAGCAAAAAUACGCCUGUACAACCUCAGGAAACUCUAACAGGGUCCAUGGUGACCAUUUCCCUGCUGGUUUUGUGAAGACAGCUGAGCAGAACAAAGAAACCGCAUCUGUGAGUGUACUUGUACGACAUCUGCAGUGUCACAAGGAUCUUAAGGGACACUGGUUAAGUUUUAAAUUUGUAGAACAAACCUCACAAAAAUCAACAGGAAUUUUUUUUCUUUUGACACAAUGAGAUUUUUUUGUUUAAUGCUCUUCCAAUAUGAACUGCAUUGCUGAGAUAAAUAUAUGAAGUGUGUUGCUGAGAUAAAUAUGCUUAGGAUUGAUUAUGUCCCAGACUUUCAACAAUAUCAGUGGUGUAAAUGGCACAUUUGCCUUUACAACAAUGCUGCUGCCUUAGAGGCCUAGCUCCUGAGAUGUACAAGGAUAGCUGAAUUUUCUUGCUAACAACAUACAACAUCCUUAUCCUACCUACUUAAAAAUCAGAGAUGCUGCAUGCAGAAGUGAAAGCCUUUCUUGGUCUAUCUUGGUCUAUCUUUGUACAUUGCAUGAAUAUCAUCAAUACCUUAAAAACAAAAUUGCAAUAAAAAAUCCAUACCCAUCAUUUCUGCUGCAUACAUUUAAUAUUAUUGAUAAGCUAGUGUCCUUGUUUAAAGAUAACUUUGAGUUUUGACUGGCAGUAAUAUCAAUGCAUCCCCUAAAACACAAAUGCACAGAAUGAAGCAAUUUUUAAUCAUAAAUCCCACGAUUAAAAAAAAAAAAACAGCCAACCAAAAUCUAACACAUACACACACACAGACUCUUAAGUUAUGCAUUUGCCAGCACCUGCUAUGAGGGGCUAGGAAUUUCAAAUGAAGGAUGAGAUGGGCAGUCACUGUAAUUUUCCAAGCAAUUCUUCCUACAGAGAGCUGUUAUGACAGACAGUAAAUUAGACUGGUGACACGGACUUCUUUACAGCUGUUGCCACGAGAUGCACACCCAACUGUGGAGCAGUAAAUCUUGAAACAGAAACUCUAGCAAGUAAGCAGGGUACAGCAGUGCAGGAACAGAGCUCAUGUUAACCCUGAAUACACCGUUUGAAGCGACUCAAGCCCCAGCAAACAUUUCUGCUAGAGAAGUCUUCAUUCUACCUGUGAUCAAACUUCAGUCCAACGAAGACAUUAAGCCUGGUGGUAGAUACUGGUAAAGGGCAACUGAGCCCUUUGUAGGCCAAAUGAUCUGUACCCCUGCAAGAACCUGCUAUUCUGAUUAAAAACAAAGCUGCUAUUUUAUGAAAGGGUAAUAGAAAUAGUUUAGGCUUAUGAAUUUGAAUUAGCCUGUAAAGCGGUGUGUGGGAAACUUGAUUUCCCCCUGACCCCAUCUGCUAAAAACGAGUCACAAAACAAGCACUGAGCUAGAAAUAAAUCAUUUAUUUCAAAACAAUACAGGUUAAUAAAUAGAUUAGUUAUCAGAAAACUUAAUAAAUAGCCUUUUAUAAUUUACACAAGGCAAAUACAACAUGCCUAUAACUAUUUUUUAAAAAGCAAAGAGAGUAAGCUUGACUUGUAAGCCAUUAACAAAUCUAUAUAUACAUUAUUUGGAAGCUAAUAAAAUAAACCGUAUUUGUGUAAUCUGUAGUAACUAUAUUGCAAAAGCAUUGAAGCAACCAAACCUAACAUUGUUGCCAACUACCUUUUCCCUAUAUCCCAUUAGAACUACUUUUUACAUUCAAGAAACAAAAAAGGGAAAUUUAAAAAAAAGGAAGAGAAAG